This 252-nucleotide ribosomal RNA is filed under the name uncultured bacterium. Its description in RNAcentral is "partial 16S ribosomal RNA". It matches the Rfam family "Bacterial small subunit ribosomal RNA", at positions 524 to 778 of the family's 1533-position model. The record is from RNAcentral.
UACGUAGGCAGCGAGCGUUGUUCGGAGUUACUGGGCGUAAAGGGUGUGUAGGCGGUUCUCUAAGUUUGGUGUGAAUCUCCCGGCUCAACCGGGAGGUGCGCCGAAAACUGGAGGCUAGAGUGCGGGAAGGGAGAGUAGAAUUCCUGGUGUAGCGGUGAAAUGCGUAGAUAUCAGGAGGAACACCGAUGGCGAAGGCAGGUCUCUGGGCCACUACUGACGCUGAGAAGCGAAAGCAUGGGGAGCGAACAGGAU